AUCCGCGUGGCUCAGUUGGUAGAGCUUGGCACUUGCAAUGCCAGGGUUGCGGGUUUGAUUCCCGUGGGGGACC
Non-coding RNA from Oncorhynchus mykiss (rainbow trout), 73 nucleotides. Lineage: Eukaryota; Metazoa; Chordata; Actinopteri; Salmoniformes; Salmonidae. The record is from the annotation of a RefSeq genome assembly.